CUCCCUGCUCCGGGCUCCGCUCCACGACCGGGUCAGUGUCGGCCUCCCUCUUCCCCAGCGCUGCGCCCGCAGGCUGAGAGACCCUUGAAUACUCCUAGACCAAAGGCUGGGCAGGUCCAGAAAAUUAUCAGAGCUUUUCUUGCAGACUCGGCUACAGCUUAUUGAGAAGAUGGAGGUGGCACAGCUAAUGGAAAUAUCUGAAAUAUUUAAUGAAAAAGAAUAAACUGGACUUCCCUGGUGGUGCAGUGGUUGAGAGUC
This is a non-coding RNA of Kogia breviceps (pygmy sperm whale), 258 nucleotides long. The record is from RefSeq and is a predicted model, not a curated record. Lineage: Eukaryota; Metazoa; Chordata; Mammalia; Artiodactyla; Physeteridae.